AUUGAACGCUGGCGGCAGGCCUAACACAUGCCAGUCGAGCGGAUGAAGGGAGCUUGCUCCUGGAUUCAGCGGCGGACGGGUGAGUAAUGCCUAGGAAUCUGCCUGGCAGUGGGGGAUAACGUCCGGAAACGGGCGCUAAUACCGCAUACGUCCUGAGGGAGAAAGUGGGGGAUCUUCGGACCUCACGCUAUCAGAUGAGCCUAGGUCGGAUUAGCUAGUUGGUGGGGUAAAGGCCUACCAAGGCGACGAUCCGUAACUGGUCUGAGAGGAUGAUCAGUCACGCUGGAACUGAGACACGGUCCAGACUCCUACGGGAGGCAGCAGUGGGGAAUAUUGGACAAUGGGCGAAAGCCUGAUCCAGCCAUGCCGCGUGUGUGAAGAAGGUCUUCGGAUUGUAAAGCACUUUAAGUUGGGAGGAAGGGCAGUAAGUUAAUACCUUGCUGUUUUGACGUUACCAACAGAGUAAGCACCGGCUAACUUCGUG
RNAcentral lists this ribosomal RNA (484 nucleotides) under uncultured bacterium. RNAcentral describes it as "partial 16S ribosomal RNA". It matches the Rfam family "Bacterial small subunit ribosomal RNA", at positions 30 to 507 of the family's 1533-position model. The record is from RNAcentral.